GAGACUUACUCGCCUGUAGUAGAAGGAGUAAACGUGUUGCUAUGGGUUUUAGGGUUUGGGAUGCUCGAGGGCAAACAGGCAGUCCUUGACGAAGGAACCGCGCUACAUAUGGGGAUACGAAUACAAAACACAAAACAGGUAUCUCAAAGUAAAAUGCCACCAAGGGGCUCAAACAUUGCCUCCUAUCGAGGUCUUCCAGCUAAGAAAGCGAUAAAGUACGAGAAAAGGGAAAAAAU
Molecule: long non-coding RNA, 236 nt
Filed under: Lathyrus oleraceus (garden pea)
Lineage: Eukaryota; Viridiplantae; Streptophyta; Magnoliopsida; Fabales; Fabaceae
Description: Pisum sativum (pea) long non-coding RNA (PSAT_LNC034040)
Source: RNAcentral